CUCAAACAGCUCUUCGAAGAAGCUUACGAACGCUGUCGUACUGCCCCUAUGGAAGGCGUUGCCUUCACCCUCGAAGACUUUCACUCUGCUCUUGAUAAGUAUGACUUCGAUUCCGAGAUUGGUACCACGGUCAAGGGCACAGUUUUCAUGACUGAUGCCAACGGUGCAUUAGUUGACAUUACUGCAAAAUCUUCUGCAUAUUUGCCAAUCCAAGAAGCUUGCAUUCACAAGAUCAAACAUGUAGAAGAAGCUGGUAUAGUUCCUGGAUUGACAGAGGAGUUUGUUAUUAUAGGUGAAAAUGAAGCUGAUGAUAGUUUAGUCUUGAGCUUAAGGGC
RNAcentral lists this unclassified non-coding RNA (335 nucleotides) under Hevea brasiliensis (rubber tree). The record is from RNAcentral. Lineage: Eukaryota; Viridiplantae; Streptophyta; Magnoliopsida; Malpighiales; Euphorbiaceae.